AGAGUUUGAUCCUGGCUCAGGAUGAACGCUAGCUACAGGCUUAACACAUGCAAGUCGAAAGGGGAACGAUAUUGGAAGCUUGCUUCCGAUAGGCGUCGACCGGCGCACGGGUGAGUAACGCGUAUCCAACCUGCCCACCACUUGGGGAUAACCUUGCGAAAGUAAGACUAAUACCCAAUGAUAUCUCUAGAAGACAUCUGAAAGAGAUUAAAGAUUUAUCGGUGAUGGAUGGGGAUGCGUCUGAUUAGCUUGUUGGCGGGGUAACGGCCCACCAAGGCAACGAUCAGUAGGGGUUCUGAGAGGAAGGUCCCCCACAUUGGAACUGAGACACGGUCCAAACUCCUACGGGAGGCAGCA
This 357-nucleotide ribosomal RNA is filed under the name uncultured bacterium. Its description in RNAcentral is "bacterial SSU rRNA". It matches the Rfam family "Bacterial small subunit ribosomal RNA", at positions 8 to 353 of the family's 1533-position model. The record is from RNAcentral.